This 468-nucleotide ribosomal RNA is filed under the name uncultured bacterium. Its description in RNAcentral is "partial 16S ribosomal RNA". It matches the Rfam family "Bacterial small subunit ribosomal RNA", at positions 28 to 507 of the family's 1533-position model. The record is from RNAcentral.
GACGAACGCUGGCGGCGUGCUUAACACAUGCAAGUCGAACGGACAGGCCCUGCUUUUGUGGGGUGCUCGUGUGGCGAACGGGUGAGUAACACGUGAGUAACCUGCCCCUGUCUUUCGGAUAACUCCAGGAAACUGGGGCUAAUACAGGAUAGGAUCUCCUGAUGCGUGGUGGGGGUUGGAAAGAUUCGGCGGUUGGGGAUGGACUCGCGGCUUAUCAGCUUGUUGGUGGGGUAGUGGCUUACCAAGGUUUUGACGGGUAGCCGGCCUGAGAGGGUGACCGGCCACAUUGGGACUGAGAUACGGCCCAGACUCCUACGGGAGGCAGCAGUGGGGAAUAUUGCACAAUGGGCGGAAGCCUGAUGCAGCGACGCCGCGUGCGGGAUGACGGCCUUCGGGUUGUAAACCGCUUUCGCCUGUGACGAAGCGUGAGUGACGGUAAUGGGUAAAGAAGCACCGGCUAACUACGUG